RNAcentral lists this ribosomal RNA (253 nucleotides) under uncultured bacterium. RNAcentral's name for it is "partial 16S ribosomal RNA". It matches the Rfam family "Bacterial small subunit ribosomal RNA", at positions 524 to 776 of the family's 1533-position model. The record is from RNAcentral.
GACAGAGGGUGCAAACGUUGUUCGGAAUUACUGGGCGUAAAGCGUGUGUAGGCGGUCUUGUAAGUCGGGUGUGAAAGCCCUGGGCUCAACCCAGGAAGUGCACUCGAAACUGCGAGGCUAGAGUACUGGAGAGGUUGGUGGAAUUCUCGGUGUAGAGGUGAAAUUCGUAGAUAUCGAGAGGAACACCGGUGGCGAAGGCGGCCAACUGGACAGAUACUGACGCUGAGACACGAAAGCGUGGGGAGCAAACAGG